AAUUAUAUAUUCUAAGAUAGGAUUUUAAAUUGCAAAUUUAAAGGUAAAUAUUAAUUUUAUAAUUU
RNAcentral lists this transfer RNA (65 nucleotides) under Curculionidae sp. 6 AH-2016. RNAcentral describes it as "tRNA-Cys". The record is from RNAcentral. Lineage: Eukaryota; Metazoa; Arthropoda; Insecta; Coleoptera; Curculionidae.